UGCAGCUUGCUGCGGGUACUCGAGUGGCGAACGGGUGAGUAACACGUGGGUGAUCUGCCUUGCACUUCGGGAUAAGCUUGGGAAACUGGGUCUAAUACCGGAUAGAACAGCUGUUUAGUGUCAGUUGUGGAAAGUUUUUUCGGUGCAAGAUGAGCUCGCGGCCUAUCAGCUUGUUGGUGGGGUAAUGGCCUACCAAGGCGUCGACGGGUAGCCGGCCUGAGAGGGUGUACGGCCACAUUGGGACUGAGAUACGGCCCAGACUCCUACGGGAGGCAGCAGUGGGGAAUAUUGCACAAUGGGCGGAAGCCUGAUGCAGCGACGCCGCGUGGGGGAUGAAGGCCUUCGGGUUGUAAACUCCUUUCGACAGGGACGAAGCGUAAGUGACGGUACCUGUAUAAGAAGCACCGGCUAACUACGUGCCAGCAGCCGCGGUAAUACGUAGGGUGCGAGCGUUGUCCGGAAUUACUGGGCGUAAAGAGCUCGUAGGUGGUUUGUCGCGUCGUCUGUGAAAUUCCGGGGCUUAACUCCGGGCGUGCAGGCGAUACGGGCUGACUUGAGUGCUGUAGGGGAGACUGGAAUUCCUGGUGUAGCGGUGAAAUGCGCAGAUAUCAGGAGGAACACCGAUGGCGAUGGCAGGUCUCUGGGCAGUAACUGACGCUGAGGAGCGAAA
RNAcentral lists this ribosomal RNA (670 nucleotides) under uncultured Actinomycetales bacterium. Its description in RNAcentral is "bacterial SSU rRNA". It matches the Rfam family "Bacterial small subunit ribosomal RNA", at positions 74 to 758 of the family's 1533-position model. The record is from RNAcentral. Lineage: Bacteria; Bacillati; Actinomycetota; Actinomycetes; Actinomycetales.